CCUUUGGGGCUGCUUCUCUGGGCUUCCUCUGCAGCUACUUGCAUGCUGGGAUCCUAGCUCCCCAAGUGUGAUCAACACCUUUAUUGGAAUUCACUGUAGUUGUCAUCGACCCUCCUGAAGUGUGGAGACCAGAACUGGAAACAUGCUCUGUGUAUAGACCAACAAAUGCCAAGUUGAAAGCUACAUUAUUCUGGUGACUCGAUGAAUCUGCAGUGAGAGCUUUUUCCCACCAACUACUGUUCAAGCAACCGUCCCCCUCCUAUAGGGUACUUGCACAGUGGAUUCUUUGGAAUCACGUAAACCCUUACACUAUGCUGGUUAAAUGUCAUCUUCUGGAUCCCGUCCACCCAUCUAGUCUUGAAAGCGUUGUUAAGUGUGGCUUCCACUGCACAAAACUCUGAUUUUGCCACCGAGGCAGCUGCGGAUUUUAUGAUCAGGCCUUCUGCGGUUCUAAAUCCAAAUUGUGAAAAUGGUGAUCAAUGCAACUACCACUAGAGACUC
Molecule: long non-coding RNA, 501 nt
Organism: Hyaena hyaena (striped hyena)
Lineage: Eukaryota; Metazoa; Chordata; Mammalia; Carnivora; Hyaenidae
Exons: 2
Source: RefSeq, a predicted model, not a curated record